This is a long non-coding RNA of Engraulis encrasicolus (European anchovy), 478 nucleotides long. RefSeq lists it as uncharacterized. Lineage: Eukaryota; Metazoa; Chordata; Actinopteri; Clupeiformes; Engraulidae. The record is from RefSeq and is a predicted model, not a curated record. The transcript is spliced from 4 exons.
AAACAAACCUAAGAGCACAGGACAGGCAGUCUGAGACACACUUUUCCCAGGCAGAGAAAUGAGACACGGGAGAACUAACUUAAACAAACACGGGUAUUAGUCUCCUUUGAAAUUGCUACACGAUUGUUUUGAAGCUGAUAUGUAGCAGUCUCUAGAGGGCAGAGAUGCCAAUAUCCUCAGGAGCAGUGGUACAUCCCAGAGUUGAUUCCUACUUGAGAAUACAUUUGGCGAGCCUUCCAAAAGAGAGGAGGAGGGAAAUCCUGGUCACCUUGGUGGGUGCUGCUGAUGACAACCAAUCAUGUGUGUCUGGUCCAGAUGGAGAGUUUACAGGAGGAGACACUUCUCAUCCUCAACGCAGCAGUAGCCGAGAUGAAGAGGAACUCGACAAACUCUCUCUUAAAGAUCCCUCCAAAAAAUCGUCCACAUGUGCCAUUCUUUAGUCUGGGGAUUUGGAUAAAGACAUGAAUGAAGACUGUCA